GUCGGCGCCCAGCUGCUGGGACGCCCGGGAGCUUCCCCAACCCGAAAGCCGCGGUCCCGGAAGCGGACGUCCCCUCGCCCCGCCUCUUCCGCUCUCCCCCAUCUUGUUCCCAGGGUGCUACACCGUGCGGCCUUCGGGGGCGUUCCAGGUGGCGUCUUAGGAGUGGCUGUGUGACCUUCUCUGGGAUGAGUGCCCGCUGGAGUGGGGAGCUGGGGAAAAUGCCGGUCACGUUCAGAGGAGGGCUAAGUGCUCCCCAAACCCAUACAUCCCGCAAACGUGUUUUGAGUACCUAGUGGUGCCGCGGCGCCGUCCUGAGAACCUAAAUACAAAAGGGUGCUGUCCUCUCCCCUCAGGGAGCUCUGUCUAGUAGGGAGUCGGUGGGAGCGCACCAGAAAAGAGGCAUCACAUCAUAUUAGGAGAACCUUUAUUCCUGCUUUUGCUGUACUGUGAUCCAAGAAGGCAGAAGUGGAGUAUGAUUUGUCAUCUUAAGUGAAGAGUUUGGCAUUUCUUAUAGGGUGUUGUCUUCAUAGACCUUGUGAUUUAGAUCCAUGAAAAUACCCCUGGUUCAUUAGGAGUUAGAACCUCAGACUGCAGCAAAGCUUCUUUGUUCAUCCUUGUUUCCAAAGGUCCUGGCCACAACUACUAUGCUCUUUGCUCUAGUAAGUUGACCCAGCAUAGGAGUCUUUUAGGCCCACCUUUGAAGAUGAUGGCUUAAUUCCAAGUUCCAGUACGUGAACCUGGCCAUGGACAUUGGCAGCUGACUUCCUCCAUAGUGACCCCAGAAGCUUUCAUCAGAAAACCUAACAGUGACUCCACUGUACCUUAAUUUAAUUUCUAUACAUAAAUUAUAUAAUGAUUUAUACAUUUAUAUUAUAUACAUAUAUACAUACUACUUAUAGUUUAGUAUACCCUACCUCCAGAACCACACUGAUGAAUUGUCUGUCUCGUUAACAUUUUUAUUAUGAUCCAGUUUACUAUCGAUUAGUAAAACAUCCAGUAACAGCCAAUGGAUAUAAAUGAAUGAGUUUCUCUUCAAUGAAAACAAACAUUCUUUGGUUCUCCAGCUCUAAGCUUCAUAUGGUGAAACUUUCUCUGGAAAGGAAAGGAGCUCAGAGUCCCAUACAGAAAAUUCUUCAGUUUUAAGGAUGUCAGAAAGAUGGAUUUCCGAAGCCAACCAUCUCCUGUACUGUGUGGAUUUCUGCAAGUAGAGCCUCAUCUUUCAGUUUCAGCUACAGGAACAAGGAAGGGAAGUACACAGGUUAUAUCUGAUACACCUAAGUAUCUUUGAAGAUGACCCCUCAUUUAUGGGGCCACAGCUAAAGAGCAAAGUCCCCAGGGAUGGGAUUGGCUUUUCCUAUAUUUAUUUCAUGGAAGCUCUAUUAAAAUACUUUAGAGCGUUAUUUUGUUUAUAUGGGUACCUUUACUUUCUCAAAAUGCAUCAGGGGCUAUGAGCUUUCAUGAUUUGUACAUUUUUUGUAAGGUCACUUUAUUAAAGUUUAUUUUUAAAAUUGUUCACAUUAUUACCAACAUCUCUUGGCUAAUAUGUAUAUUCCCAUCUGGCAAUUGACAGGAAGUAAUCAGAGAUACAUGAAUCACAGACUUAAAUUAUAUCUGAAUUUAAUUUUAGAAUCUAGGUAUGUAGGAAAGCCAUCUAGUAACCUGCUGAAUAACCUUCUCUUACUAGCAAAAUCUUAAUUUCUUCCCAGGGCAACAAUACUAAUCAGUUCAAAAAUCACAUUCCUGCUUCCUUGGCAGCUGAAGGUAGUCAGAUGACUGACUGUGGCCAAUGUAAGCUAAUGUCAUUGGGUGGAAUACCUAAACAAGCCCUGGAGGUAAAAUAGCUAUAGUGUAGGGUUCCUUGUUUCUUUUCUCCCAUUAAGCUAUAUUCUAAAACAGUGGAAAAAAAGAUCACCUAGACAACAUGUAGGUUAUGGUUAAAAACCUAGCAGCCCCAUGAUGAUGGCAAAGACAGUAAGAAAAAUCUCUCUAAAAAUAUUCACAUCAUGAAAUGCUCUAAAGUCCUGAAUUAAAUCAAGCACCUUUCUCCUUGUUUCCCAACCUCAGCAUGGUGCAGGCAAAAUGACAGAGGUAUAUGCAUCAUACCUUUAGUGUGUACUUGUAAGCCUGCUCUGCUUCCAGUUGCCGUCCAGCCUGAAAAAAGUUCAGCAGCUGGUGAUGAUGACAUGUCAUACACAUGGUAAGAAAAAUACAUUUCUCCAAAUGUUUCUACCUAACGAGAGGAUUAUACCUUCCUAGUUAAGAAACUGAAUUCAAAGGGGAAGCAGGAAAAUAAAAGGUGGUAAGUAAAGGCCAAUAUUUUUUAAAAUCUCUCCUUUAGCCCAGGAAAUUUUUAGAAACAAUUUGGCCUCUCAUUUUUUUUUCUGAAAAGCUCAUGAGUCAUUUGUUCCUCCUAGAAUUCAUGCCAUUUUGUUAGUAAUUGCAACAUUUUACAUGUGAUUUCCAUUGUUUUCCUCAUGAUGCUUUAAGUGCUUUAAAUAUAUUCACUUUUAAUCCUUAUAACCUGGAGAUAAUUACUAUUAUUAUUAUUAUUGGUACCAGAGAUUGAAAUCAGGGGCUCUUAACCACUGAGCCACAUCCCCAGCCCAUUAAAAAAAAAAAUGUUAGAUGAACACAAUACCUUUAUUUAUUUUUAUGCGAUGCUGAGGAUUGAACCCAGUGCCUCACACAUGCUAGGCAAACACUCUACCGCUGAGAUACAAUCCUAGUCCCCCAACCCUUUUUAUAUUUUAUUUUGAGACGAAGUCUUGCUAAGCUGUUUAGAACCUUGCUAAGUUGCUGAGGCUGGCUUUGAACUCGUGAUCCUCCUGCCUCAGCCUCCCAAGCCACUGGGGAUUAUGGGCAUGUGCCACCUCACUCCCAGAUAAUUACUAUUAUUUAUCAUUCCACGUUAACAGAAAGAAACUUAAGGCACAGAGAUUAUAAAUAACUUGCCAGGGUUUUUUAACUAGUAAGUGGAAGAUCUGGGUUUUAAAAAAAUGAAGUCUGGCUCCAGAGUCCAAGUUUUUACCUACUAUACUUUAUCCCAUCUCCAUGUAUUAUAAAAAGUAAAUAUUAGGAUUCCUUCCAUGCAGCUCUGGAUAUGAGGUGAGAAAACUAACUACUCUGCCCAGUUGAUAUAUUCCUUGCAUGAAGCUCUCCUCCAAGAGUUAAAUGAGAUGAUAUGUAUUCCCUAUUACACUUCACAAGUUUGAAUAUAAGAAGUUAGAAUAUGUAUAGUCACUAAGGAAAGCUUAUAUGUAAAAAACCACAGAAUAUUUGCACUGCAAGGGAACUUUGGAUGUUUAAUCCAAUCUCCUGAUCAGUGCUAGUCAUGUGGAAUUUUUACUAAUUCACAAAAUUUGGAUGCCCCAAACCCUCACUUCCUACAGCAUCUACCAUCUGAAAUAUUACCUCCUGAAGUUCCAGUAUACCUGCUCUUUCUACCACUACUACCUCUGACUCCCUCCUGAUGAAGGGAGGCAGAGGCCCAAAUGAUGUGAGCAUCCAGAAUAGUCAAAGCAGGUUUUUUUGUUUUUUUUUUUUAAACAUUUACUUUUAGUUGUAGUUGGACACAAUACCUUUAUUUUAUUUUAUUAUGUGGUACUGAGGAUCGAACCCAGGGCCUCACAUGCUAGGCGAGUGCUCUACCGCUAAGCCACAAUCCCAGCCCCUCCAAGCAGUUUUGAAAAAUAAUUUUAUUAUUCUGAACAUCAUUACAGUAAUGCUUAAUAGAGCUUCCAUGAAAUAAAGAUAUACAUUCUUAUGUGCGGAGAGUGGUGAUAGUGACUGGGAGACUAGUGUCUGAGGUUGGGCUCCCUGAUGACUUCAUGCCUAUGGCAUACUUGUUGACUGGGAAAGUUUCUGUGUAAAGGCAUAUGGAGAUGUCCUCCAUGCUAGAGUCUUAUCAGCUUUGACCUUAUUCUCAGGCACAGCAGCUCCUGGGAAUGAAGGAACUUCCUUGCUAAGGAAACAACAAUGUUUCACCAGUUCCAUGCUCCUGAAUCUGCCCUCAAAUUAGUAACUUUAAACAGUGGACUUUCCUCAGAGCUGCACAAAGCUCCUAACAUUGCACAUUGCAACUAUAGAAUGUAACUGAGGAAACAGCUGCAUUCUGUUGCUAAUUCUGUUAACUUCAUGAAUACAAAGAAUAAUGCUUGGGGAUGGGGUUGUGGCUUAGUGGAGGCCCUGGGUUCAUCCUCAGCACCACAUGUAAAUAAAUAAAAUAAAGGUAUUGUAUCCAACUACAACUAAUAUUUUUUAAAAAAAAAAAAAAAAAGAAUAAUGCUUGCAUAGCCUUUCAUCUGAUUUAGAGACAUAUAUGAUAAAGAUUGCUGGUGUAAUUCUUGAGACCUGAUUCUGCAUCAGAGAGCAGCUGCUCCAUCUGACUCCAGCUGCUUUAUCGUCAAGAUCUGCUUGUGUUUCCUCUUUAUUUCUUCCCAUCUCUCAUUGCCCCUUGCUGGAACAUGCUAGUUUGGCUGCACUGGUCGUGGCACUUAUCAUGUAUUUUUCUUAAGAAACGUAUUUAGAUAUGGCAUUGUGUUGAGAGCCAUAGACAAGUCAAGAUGGCGCCUGGCACUUUGCCAAGAGGAGUGGUUUGAGAAGUAACGCCAGCGAACCAUUAAGAUGAUAGAGAUUCCUUAAUGACUGACUGCUGUGUCUAGUUUAUGUUAAUUAAGUUAAGCUGUGUGUAAUCAUUAAGAUGCUGAUUCCUUAUUGGUUGACUGCUGUAUCUAGUUUAUGUUAAUUAAGUUAAGCUGUGUGUAAUUAGUUGGGUAUAUAUACUUCUCUGUCCCGUAAUAAAGCGGUUCCCGCUGUA
This is a long non-coding RNA of Marmota monax (woodchuck), 4816 nucleotides long. RefSeq lists it as uncharacterized. The transcript is spliced from 2 exons. The record is from RefSeq and is a predicted model, not a curated record. NCBI's taxonomy places the organism in Eukaryota, Metazoa, Chordata, Mammalia, Rodentia, Sciuridae.